UUUCCGGUUGAUCCCGCCGGACCUGACUGCUAUCGGAUUGAUACUAAGCCAUGCGAGUCUUUGUAGUAAUACAAGGCAGACGGCUCAGUAACACGUAGUCAACCUACCCUAUGGACAAGAAUAAUCUCGGGAAACUGGGCAUAAUUCUUGAUAGAUCAUAAUGCCUGGAAUGGUUUAUGGUUAAAAUGAUUCGUCGCCAUAGGAUGGGACUGCGGCCUAUCAGCUUGUUGGUGAGGUAAUGGCCCACCAAGGCGAUUACAGGUACGGGCUCUGAGAGGAGAAGCCCGGAGAUGGGUACUGAGACACGGACCCAGGCCCUAUGGGGCGCAGCAGGCGAGAAAACUUUGCAAUGUGCGAAAGCACGACAAGGUUAAUCCGAGUGAUUUCUGCUAAAGAAAUCUUUUGCCAGUCAUAAAACCACUGGUGAAUAAGGGGUGGGCAAGUUCUGGUGUCAGCCGCCGCGGUAAAACCAGCACCUCAAGUGGUCAGGAUGAUUAUUGGGCCUAAAGCAUCCGUAGCCGGCUUUGUUAGUUUUCGGUUAAAUCCAUGUGCUCAACGCAUGGGCUGCCGAAAAUACUGCAUGGCUAGGGAGUGGGAGAGGUAGACGGUACUUAGUAGGAAGGGGUAAAAUCCUUUGAUCUAUUGAUGACCACCUGUGGCGAAGGCGGUCUACCAGAACACGUUCGACGGUGAGGGAUGAAAGCUGGGGGAGCAAACCGGAUUAGAUACCCGGGUAGUCCCAGCUGUAAACGAUGCAGACUCGAUGAUGCAUUGGCAUAAUAGCCAGUGCAGUGUCGCAGGGAAGCCGUUAAGUCUGCCGCCUGGGAAGUACGUACGCAAGUAUGAAACUUAAAGGAAUUGGCGGGGGAGCACCACAAGGGGUGAAGCCUGCGGUUCAAUUGGAUUCAACGCCGGGA
RNAcentral lists this ribosomal RNA (917 nucleotides) under uncultured archaeon. RNAcentral describes it as "SSU rRNA". It matches the Rfam family "Archaeal small subunit ribosomal RNA", at positions 1 to 923 of the family's 1478-position model. The record is from RNAcentral.